This 1367-nucleotide ribosomal RNA is filed under the name Halomonas sp. Its description in RNAcentral is "bacterial SSU rRNA". It matches the Rfam family "Bacterial small subunit ribosomal RNA", at positions 60 to 1409 of the family's 1533-position model. Lineage: Bacteria; Pseudomonadati; Pseudomonadota; Gammaproteobacteria; Oceanospirillales; Halomonadaceae. The record is from RNAcentral.
GGGCUCGGGAAACGUAUCCUAACGUUGCAUCGGCAGGAGUCGAGCGGCGGACGGGUGAGUAAUGCAUAGGAAUCUGCCCGGUAGUGGGGGAUAACUUGAGGAAACUCAAGCUAAUACCGCAUACGCCCUACGGGGGAAAGCAGGGGCUCUUCGGACCUUGCGCUAUCGGAUGAGCUUAUGUCGGAUUAGCUGGUUGGUGAGGUAACGGCUCACCAAGGCGACGAUCCGUAGCUGGUCUGAGAGGAUGAUCAGCCACAUCGGGACUGAGACACGGCCCGAACUCCUACGGGAGGCAGCAGUGGGGAAUAUUGGACAAUGGGGGCAACCCUGAUCCAGCCAUGCCGCGUGUGUGAAGAAGGCCCUCGGGUUGUAAAGCACUUUCAGCGAGGAAGAAUGCUUGUCGGUUAAUACCCGGCAAGGGAGACAUCACUCGCAAAAAAAGCACCGGCUAACUCCGUGCCAGCAGCCGCGGUAAUACGGAGGGUGCGAGCGUUAAUCGGAAUUACUGGGCGUAAAGCGUGCGUAGGCGGCUUGAUAACCCGGUUGUGAAAGCCCCGGCCUCAACCUGGGAACCGCAUCCGGAACUGUUAGGCUAGAGAGCAGCGACAAGAAGGUAGAAUUCCCCGCGUAGCGGCUAGAAAUACGUCAGAGAUCGGGAAGGAAUACCAAUGGCAAAGAGCGCCCGUCUGCUACUCACACUGACACUAAGGUACGAAAGCGUGGGUAGCAAACAGGAUUAGAUACCCUGGUAGUCCACGCCGUAAACGAUGUCGACUAGCCGUUGGGGUCCUCGAGACCUUUGUGGCGCAGUUAACGCACUAAGUCGACCGCCUGGGGAGUACGGCCGCAAGGUUAAAACUCAAAUGAAUUGACGGGGGCCCGCACAAGCGGUGGAGCAUGUGGUUUAAUUCGAUGCAACGCGAAGAACCUUACCUACCCUUGACAUCGUGCGAACUUUCCAGAGAUGGAAUGGUGCCUUCGGGAGCGCACAGACAGGUGCUGCAUGGCUGUCGUCAGCUCGUGUUGUGAAAUGUUGGGUUAAGUCCCGUAACGAGCGCAACCCUUGUCCCUAUUUGCCAGCGAUUCGGUCGGGAACUCUAGGGAGACUGCCGGUGACAAACCGGAGGAAGGUGGGGACGACGUCAAGUCAUCAUGGCCCUUACGGGUAGGGCUACACACGUGCUACAAUGGCCGGUACAAUGGGUUGCAAAGCGGCGACGUGGAGCUAAUCUCAUAAAGCCGGUCUCAGUCCGGAUCGGAGUCUGCAACUCGACUCCGUGAAGUCGGAAUCGCUAGUAAUCGUGCAUCAGAAUGGCACGGUGAAUACGUUCCCGGGCCUUGUACACACCGCCCGUCACACCAUGGGA